RNAcentral lists this long non-coding RNA (369 nucleotides) under Elaeis guineensis (African oil palm). RNAcentral describes it as "long non-coding RNA (EGUI_LNC036839)". The record is from RNAcentral. Lineage: Eukaryota; Viridiplantae; Streptophyta; Magnoliopsida; Arecales; Arecaceae.
CCUCCACCAAUUCAACAGAUCUAGCCAGCAUCAGUCACGGCCGACUAAUUUGGUCAGCUCUUCCAGCAAGUUCAACAUUUGACAACCACAAUCCAGGCAGUUCAAACCUUUCCACAUCCUUUCAAGUGGCGCCACAGUCUCUCCAGGUUGUCCCUGCACCCCCUACAACGGUGCAUCAUACAGUUCUCUCGAUGGUGCCACUUGUGCCUUCUGCAGUGGUGCCCCCAUAGAAUCCUGCUUUGACUGUGGCUCUGCAGUCACUGCCUUAACUAGAGCCACAGACGCCUCUUUGAAGUCUGAAGAGGAGGUUGACUCAUCAAAGUCACCUUAGGGCCCGACAGCCGGCCAGGUGACAAUCUCUAAGCCCAC